CAGUCGCCGCGGUAAUACGUAGGUGGCAAGCGUUGUCCGGAAUUAUUGGGCGUAAAGCGCGCGCAGGUGGUUUAAUAAGUCUGAUGUGAAAGCCCACGGCUCAACCGUGGAGGGUCAUUGGAAACUGUUAAACUUGAGUGCAGGAGAGAAAAGUGGAAUUCCUAGUGUAGCGGUGAAAUGCGUAGAGAUUAGGAGGAACACCAGUGGCGAAGGCGGCUUUUUGGCCUGUAACUGACACUGAGGCGCGAAAGCGUGGGGAGCAAACAGGAUUAGAUACCCCAGUAGUCCCUGUCUCUUAUAC
This 301-nucleotide ribosomal RNA is filed under the name uncultured bacterium. Its description in RNAcentral is "partial 16S ribosomal RNA". It matches the Rfam family "Bacterial small subunit ribosomal RNA", at positions 509 to 807 of the family's 1533-position model. The record is from RNAcentral.